This 484-nucleotide ribosomal RNA is filed under the name uncultured bacterium. RNAcentral's name for it is "partial 16S ribosomal RNA". It matches the Rfam family "Bacterial small subunit ribosomal RNA", at positions 30 to 507 of the family's 1533-position model. The record is from RNAcentral.
AUUGAACGCUGGCGGCAGGCCUAACACAUGCAAGUCGAGCGGAUGAAGGGAGCUUGCUCCUGGAUUCAGCGGCGGACGGGUGAGUAAUGCCUAGGAAUCUGCCUGGUAGUGGGGGAUAACGUCCGGAAACGGGCGCUAAUACCGCAUACGUCCUGAGGGUGAAAGUGGGGGAUCUUCGGACCUCACGCUAUCAGAUGAGACUAGGUCGGAUUAGCUAGUUGGUGGGGUAAAGGCCUACCAAGGCGACGAUCCGUAACUGGUCUGAGAGGAUGAUCAGUCACACUGGAACUGAGACACGGUCCAGACUCCUACGGGAGGCAGCAGUGGGGAAUAUUGGACAAUGGGCGAAAGCCUGAUCCAGCCAUGCCGCGUGUGUGAAGAAGGUCUUCGGAUUGUAAAGCACUGUAAGUUGGGAGGAAGAGCAGUAAGUUAAUACCUGGAUGUUUUGACGUUACCAACAGAAUAAGCACCGGCUAACUACGUG